GCCUGGGUGGCUCAGUCGGUUAAGCAUCUGACUUCGGCUCAGGUCAUGAUCUCACACUCCGUGAGUUCGAGCCCCACGUCGGGCU
RNAcentral lists this transfer RNA (85 nucleotides) under Felis catus (domestic cat). It matches the Rfam family "tRNA". From Rfam's summary of the family: Transfer RNA (tRNA) molecules are approximately 80 nucleotides in length. The record is from Rfam by way of RNAcentral. RNAcentral also lists the same sequence under 1 other name. Lineage: Eukaryota; Metazoa; Chordata; Mammalia; Carnivora; Felidae.